This 176-nucleotide ribosomal RNA is filed under the name Rhizobium sp. S152. Its description in RNAcentral is "partial 16S ribosomal RNA". It matches the Rfam family "Bacterial small subunit ribosomal RNA", at positions 1 to 190 of the family's 1533-position model. The record is from RNAcentral. Lineage: Bacteria; Pseudomonadati; Pseudomonadota; Alphaproteobacteria; Hyphomicrobiales; Rhizobiaceae.
CAACAUGAGAGUUUGAUCCUGGCUCAGAACGAACGCUGGCGGCAGGCUUAACACAUGCAAGUCGAGCGCCCCGCGAGGGGAGCGGCAGACGGGUGAGUAACGCGUGGGAACGUACCCUUUUCUACGGAAUAACCCAGGGAAACUUGGACUAAUACCGUAUGUGCCCUUCGGGGGAA